Molecule: ribosomal RNA, 492 nt
Filed under: uncultured bacterium
Lineage: Bacteria
Description: partial 16S ribosomal RNA
Rfam family: Bacterial small subunit ribosomal RNA
Source: RNAcentral
AGUGAACGCUGGCGGUAGGCCUAACACAUGCCAGUCGAACGGCAGCACAGUAAGAGCUUGCUCUUACGGGUGGCGAGUGGCGGACGGGUGAGGAAUACAUCGGAAUCUACUUUUUCGUGGGGGAUAACGUAGGGAAACUUACGCUAAUACCGCAUACGACCUACGGGUGAAAGCAGGGGAUCUUCGGACCUUGCGCGAUUGAAUGAGCCGAUGUCGGAUUAGCUAGUUGGCGGGGUAAAGGCCCACCAAGGCGACGAUCCGUAGCUGGUCUGAGAGGAUGAUCAGCCACACUGGAACUGAGACACGGUCCAGACUCCUACGGGAGGCAGCAGUGGGGAAUAUUGGACAAUGGGCGCAAGCCUGAUCCAGCCAUACCGCGUGGGUGAUGAAGGCCUUCGGGUUGUAAAGCCCUUUUGUUGGGAAAGAAAAGCAGCAGGUUAAUACCCCGCUGUUCUGACGGUACCCAAAGAAUAAGCACCGGCUAACUUCGUG